UUUUGACCUUGAGACUCGCGUGUUCGCAUAUCCUUCGAUUGCUUCAAUGGAUUUUAGAGUUUGCAUCAUUGCUGUGUUCAUGAGUUUAAUCAUCUCAAAAUUGGAUGCCAGAAGGGACAUCACUUGUCUGGCUGCAGAAAACUUUUCUAAGAUCUCAGUGGAGCUGAGCGACCUUUUGGGCACUUGGUACGAAAUCAAACGCACACCAUUUCCACGAGAAAAUUUUCUGAGAUGCGCCAAGUUCGAAAUCAGUAGCCUUGAAACUCCUCAAGGUGAAAAGAUCCAGUUCCUGCUCACUGGAAUACAUCCAUUUGUGCCAAGGUAUUUCCAUUUCGGAAAUCUAGUAACAGACGAUAUCAAUGAUAUGCAGAACUUUACGUUGAAAUUCGACGAUUCCUACGACUUACGAGUUAUACGAGUGCUCGAUCUUAAACGGGACGAGUAUGUGCUACUUCAUUCUUGUUAUAUAGGGGAAAUUUCGAGUUAUAUUUAUAAGGACGAGUAUGCAUGGAUUUUGUCACGCAGUCUGAAUAUUAGUCCAAAACUGAUCGAACAAGCAGAAGAAAUUUUGUUCUCACGAACUAAUAUGUCACGAAAAAGUUUAACUCAUACAUGGUCAAAAAUCUGUAAAAACGUUGGCUAACGAUUUUUCUACAAAAAACUAUUUCUACAAGUACUAUUUAUUUAUUUCAUCAUAUUUCAUGACAUUGAUUUUCAUUCA
Molecule: long non-coding RNA, 721 nt
Organism: Symsagittifera roscoffensis
Lineage: Eukaryota; Metazoa; Xenacoelomorpha; Acoela; Convolutidae
Exons: 2
Source: RefSeq, a predicted model, not a curated record